AUUAUUAUAGUAUAAAAUGUAAGUUAAGAGUUAGUUGUGGCUCUUAAAAAUAAAGAAGGAAGUGGGGCUCUUAAUGAUUUGAGGAGCAACUAAGAGUCUAUUGGAGUUGCAUUUUCACUCCUCUUCUUUAAAUUUUGAGUUAAGAGCUCAAAUAAGGAGGCUAUUGGAGAUGCUCUUAAUAGAUUAAAUGGUUAGUGAAUGAGUUUAUUGUUAGCGCACAUAACACGAAUCAACGUCCAGGCAGUGGAGUGAAUUAAUAGGCAAUGGAAUGAAUUGACAUUCAACCCGUGAAAUUCCAAUAAGGUAAAUCCAAGCAGCUGCGGCAAUUCAUUUUUAUGUGGGGUUUUGAAGAUGGCGGAGGUAAGGGCGGAGGCGAAGGUGGACGGGGCAGUGGAGAUGUGGAUGGAUUUGUAGUGAUAGAUCGAGAUAGUGAAGUUAGACAAAGAAGUGAUGGUUGUUGGGGAAUGAGCGCAUGGAGGUGGAGCGGAGAUGACAAAGGUAGCGGUGGAGGCGGAGUUGAAGGAGAUGGAGGUUGAGGUAGUGGUGGGGGUGGAGGCGGAGUUGAAGGAGAUGGAGGUUGAGGUAGUGGUGGGGGUGGAGGCGGAGUUGAAGGAGAUGGAGGUUGAGGUAGUGGUGGGGGUGGAGGCGGAGUUGAAGGAGAUGGAGGUUGAGGUAGUGGUGGGGUUGAAGGUAGAGAUUGAGGUGGGUUUGUCGUAGAAUUAGUGAUAGCUGCUUUAGAAAUUAGUGAUCCUGUAGCUGAUUUUUAGUUUGUUGAAUAUGAAGGGGGUUUGUAGUUGAAUAAGACUCAACAUGAGCAAGUGAUCAAAUACAAAUCAGCUCUUAAAUGCAAACUAAAAAUAAGUUUCUCUACCACUAAUUAUAACUACGGCUAUCACUAAUUUAUAC
This 906-nucleotide long non-coding RNA is filed under the name Daucus carota (carrot). Its description in RNAcentral is "long non-coding RNA (DCAR_LNC004909)". The record is from RNAcentral. Lineage: Eukaryota; Viridiplantae; Streptophyta; Magnoliopsida; Apiales; Apiaceae.